UACGGAAGGGGCAAGCGUUGUUCGGAAUCAUUGGGCGUAAAGGGCGCGUAGGUGGUUCUGUAUGUCUACCGUGAAAGCGUACGGCUCAACCGUAUUUUGUCGGUGGAAACUGCAGGACUUGAGGCUGGGAGGGGCUGGUGGAAUUCCCUGUGUAGCGGUGAAAUGCGUAGAGAUGGGGGAGAACACUCGUGGCGAAGGCGGAUCUCUGGGCCUGUCCUGACGCUGAGGCGCGAAAGCUAGGGGAGCGAACAGG
RNAcentral lists this ribosomal RNA (253 nucleotides) under uncultured bacterium. RNAcentral describes it as "partial 16S ribosomal RNA". It matches the Rfam family "Bacterial small subunit ribosomal RNA", at positions 524 to 776 of the family's 1533-position model. The record is from RNAcentral.